RNAcentral lists this ribosomal RNA (481 nucleotides) under uncultured bacterium. RNAcentral's name for it is "partial 16S ribosomal RNA". It matches the Rfam family "Bacterial small subunit ribosomal RNA", at positions 28 to 507 of the family's 1533-position model. The record is from RNAcentral.
GAUGAACGCUGGCGGCGUGCUUAACACAUGCAAGUCGAACGAAGCAUUUAAGACAGAUUACUUCGGUUUGAAGUCUUUUAUGACUGAGUGGCGGACGGGUGAGUAACGCGUGGGUAACCUGCCUCAUACAGGGGGAUAGCAGCUGGAAACGGCUGGGAAUACCGCAUAAGCGCACAGUACCACAUGGUACAGUGUGAAAAACUCCGGUGGUAUGAGAUGGACCCGCGUCUGAUUAGCUUGUUGGCGGGGUAACGGCCCACCAAGGCGACGAUCAGUAGCCGACCUGAGAGGGUGACCGGCCACAUUGGGACUGAGACACGGCCCAGACUCCUACGGGAGGCAGCAGUGGGGAAUAUUGCACAAUGGAGGAAACUCUGAUGCAGCGACGCCGCGUGAGUGAAGAAGUAGUUCGCUAUGUAAAGCUCUAUCAGCAGGGAAGAUAGUGACGGUACCUGACUAAGAAGCUCCGGCUAAAUACGUG